RNAcentral lists this microRNA precursor (92 nucleotides) under Marmota monax (woodchuck). Lineage: Eukaryota; Metazoa; Chordata; Mammalia; Rodentia; Sciuridae. The record is from RNAcentral.
UGGGGUCAUAUAAAUGUGUGUGUGUGUGUGUGUGUGUGUGUAUAUAUAUAUACACACACACACACACAUACAUACACACACACACACACAUA